GACGAACGCUGGCGGCGUGCCUAACACAUGCAAGUUGAGCGACGAACCAGGGCUUGCCCUGGGGCAAAGCAGCGAACGGGUGAGUAACACGUGGGUAACCUACCCCGAUAACCGGGACAACCCGAGGAAACUCGGGCUAAUACUGAUGUGCUCACUGGACUUCGGUUCAGUGCGUAAAGUAAGCUUCGGCCUCCGUAUCGGGAGGGGCCCGCGGCCCAUUAGUUUGUUGGUGAGGUAACGGCUCACCAAGACCGCGAUGGGUAGCUGGUCUGAGAGGACGAUCAGCCACACUGGGACUGAGACACGGCCCAGACUCCUACGGGAGGCAGCAGUGGGGAAUCUUGCGCAAUGCGCGAAAGCGUGACGCAGCAACGCCGCGUGGGGGAAGAAGGCCUUCGGGUUGUAAACCCCUUUCAGGAGGGACGAAGGUUCGGCGGUGAAUAGCCGUCCGGACUGACGGUACCUCCACAAGAAGCCCCGGCUAACUACGUG
This 492-nucleotide ribosomal RNA is filed under the name uncultured bacterium. RNAcentral's name for it is "partial 16S ribosomal RNA". It matches the Rfam family "Bacterial small subunit ribosomal RNA", at positions 28 to 507 of the family's 1533-position model. The record is from RNAcentral.